This 300-nucleotide unclassified non-coding RNA is filed under the name uncultured Exophiala. RNAcentral's name for it is "sequence contains 5.8S rRNA gene, ITS2". The stretch from base 1 to 71 matches the Rfam family "5.8S ribosomal RNA", at positions 84 to 154 of the family's 154-position model. The record is from RNAcentral. Lineage: Eukaryota; Fungi; Ascomycota; Eurotiomycetes; Chaetothyriales; Herpotrichiellaceae.
GUGAAUCAUCGAAUCUUUGAACGCACAUUGCGCCCUUUGGUAUUCCGAAGGGCAUGCCUGUUCGAGCGUCAUUAUCACCCCUCAAGCCCUCGGCUUGGUGUUGGACGGCUUGGUGGAGGACCCCUUUGCGGGCUUCUACCCCUCCCAAAGACAAUGACGGCGGCCUCGUUGGACCCCCGGUACACUGAGUUCUUCACGGGACACGUAUCGGACACACGGGUUGACGGGACACGGUCUGCCUCCCCUUAGGGAGAAUCUUUUUAUCAAGGUUGACCUCGGAUCAGGUAGGGAUACCCGCUG